Molecule: ribosomal RNA, 491 nt
Filed under: uncultured bacterium
Lineage: Bacteria
Description: partial 16S ribosomal RNA
Rfam family: Bacterial small subunit ribosomal RNA
Source: RNAcentral
ACUCAAAUGAAUUGACGGGGACCCGCACAACCGGUGGAGCGUGUGGUUCAAUUCGAGACAAAGCGAAAAACCUUACCAGGGCUUGACAUGCAAUCGUUUUAUACCUUUGGAAACUUAGGUAGAUCCGCAAGGAUGAUUGUGCAGGUGCUGCAUGGCUGUCGUCAGCUCGUGCCGUGAGGUGUUCCCUUAAGUGGGGAAACGAGCGCAACCCCCGUCCAAUGUUAAAUCUUCAUUGGAGACGGUCCCGAUUAUCUCGGGAAGGAAGGAGGGGAAGACGUCAAGUCAGCACGGCCCUUAUGCCCUGGGUUACACACACCCUACAAUGGCGAAAAACAACGAGUUGCAAGCGCGCGAGUGCAAGCUAAUCUCUCAAAUUUCGCCUCAGUUCAGAUUGGAGUCUGCAACCCGACUCCAUGAAGUCGGAAUCGGUAGUAAUCGCGAAUCAGCAGGUCGCGGUGAAUACGUUCUCGGGUCUUGUACACACCGCCCGU